This 475-nucleotide ribosomal RNA is filed under the name [Eubacterium] infirmum. RNAcentral describes it as "bacterial SSU rRNA". It matches the Rfam family "Bacterial small subunit ribosomal RNA", at positions 9 to 482 of the family's 1533-position model. The record is from RNAcentral. Lineage: Bacteria; Bacillati; Bacillota; Clostridia; Peptostreptococcales; Anaerovoracaceae.
GAGUUUGAUUAUGGCUCAGGAUGAACGCUGGCGGCGUGCCUAACACAUGCAAGUCGAGCGAGAAGUAAAGAAAUGAAGCUUCGGUAGAUUUUCAUUAUGGAAAGCGGCGGACGGGUGAGUAACGCGUAGGCAACCUGCCCUGUACAGGGGGAUAGCCACCCGAAAAGGUGAUUAAUACACCAUGAUGCAAGAGAUACACAUGUAUCACUUGUCAAAGAUUUAUCGGUAUGGGAUGGGCCUGCGUCUGAUUAGCUAGUUGGUAGGGUAACGGCUUACCAAGGCAACGAUCAGUAGCCGACCUGAGAGGGUGAUCGGCCACAUUGGAACUGAGACACGGUCCAAACUCCUACGGGAGGCAGCAGUGGGGAAUAUUGCACAAUGGGGGAAACCCUGAUGCAGCAACGCCGCGUGAAGGAAGAAGGCCUUCGGGUUGUAAACUUCUGUCCUAGGGGAAGAAACAAAUGACAUUACCCUG